RNAcentral lists this ribosomal RNA (367 nucleotides) under uncultured bacterium. Its description in RNAcentral is "partial 16S ribosomal RNA". It matches the Rfam family "Bacterial small subunit ribosomal RNA", at positions 355 to 715 of the family's 1533-position model. The record is from RNAcentral.
UGGGGAAUAUUGCACAAUGGGCGCAAGCCUGAUGCAGCCAUGUCGCGUGUAUGAAGAAGGCCUUCGGUUGUAAAGUACUUUCAGCGGGGAGGAAGGCGAUAAGGUUAAUAACCUUGUCGAUUGACGUUACCCGCAGAAGAAGCACCGGCUAACUCCGUGCCAGCAGCCGCGGUAAUACGGAGGGUGCAAGCGUUAAUCGGAAUUACUGGGCGUAAAGCGCACGCAGGCGGUCUGUCAAGUCGGAUGUGAAAUCCCCGGGCUCAACCUGGGAACUGCAUUCGAAACUGGCAGGCUAGAGUCUUGUAGAGGGGGGUAGAAUUCCAGGUGUAGCGGUGAAAUGCGUAGAGAUCUGGAGGAAUACCGGUGG